GUUAUUAUAAUUCUUUACUCUGUAGUCAAUUCCGUCAUGUUAGACAGGUUACGUCAACUGUCAGUGUUAGUGUCACUUUUUAGCAAGAUGACCACGCGGUCGGCUCGUCGGCUAACACGAGCUUUCGACGAAAUACAAAUAGCAGAACUUCUUAAUAAUUCGGAGUUCGAAGACUCGGAUGAUGAAGAUGUGUCUGACCUGACCUCCCUGACCUAACCUAAACCUGUCCUCGGAAUCUGAAGGUGGAGAAAUAGAAAUCGCUGUAAGUGGAGGUGGAUCUACUCGUCGUACUCAAAGUGCUCGUGACCAACGAGUUGGACGUGGCCGUGGUAGAAGUACAAGCUCAAGGGCACGACAUACCGACAUAUAGUGCCUGUACCAUCAAAAAUGCGACUCUUAUAUGGCAAUAUCCACUUACCGGAACAUCUUCAACAAGAAAUUGUUACAGGGCCUUUCAUCAACAAGAGAAUUAAUAAUAAGCAAUAAAAACCAUAACUUGCCGACUUUAGUUUAUAAAAAUAUUGAUCUCGUAUACUUACUUGACUGUGAUUUUGAAAUAAGAUGUCAAUUAAACUAGCACGUCAGGAAGAUUGUUUUGUCCUCAUCCUAUUUCGAUAAUUAGAAUAGUGAUACUGUUAUCCUCUGGUUUAUAAAAGUAAAUUAUGCUAAUAUUGUCUUUGAGGGAGUAUCUUAUAAAUGUUUCUAGAAGAAAAAUAUUGUUUAUGUUGUAAUAAAAUAAAAUAUAUACUA
Melitaea cinxia (Glanville fritillary) is the source of this 750-nucleotide long non-coding RNA. RefSeq lists it as uncharacterized. The record is from RefSeq and is a predicted model, not a curated record. The transcript is spliced from 2 exons. NCBI's taxonomy places the organism in Eukaryota, Metazoa, Arthropoda, Insecta, Lepidoptera, Nymphalidae.